This 253-nucleotide ribosomal RNA is filed under the name uncultured bacterium. RNAcentral describes it as "partial 16S ribosomal RNA". It matches the Rfam family "Bacterial small subunit ribosomal RNA", at positions 524 to 776 of the family's 1533-position model. The record is from RNAcentral.
UACGGAGGGUGCAAGCGUUAUCCGGAUUCACUGGGUUUAAAGGGUGCGUAGGCGGCUAGGUAAGUCCGUGGUGAAAUCCUGCAGCUUAACUGCAGAACUGCCGUGGAUACUAUCUAUCUUGAAUAUCGUGGAGGUUAGCGGAAUAUGUCAUGUAGCGGUGAAAUGCUUAGAUAUGACAUAGAACACCCAUUGCGAAGGCAGCUAACUACGCGAUCAUUGACGCUGAUGCACGAAAGCGUGGGGAUCAAACAGG